This 253-nucleotide ribosomal RNA is filed under the name uncultured Acidobacteriota bacterium. Its description in RNAcentral is "uncultured Acidobacteria bacterium partial 16S ribosomal RNA". It matches the Rfam family "Bacterial small subunit ribosomal RNA", at positions 524 to 776 of the family's 1533-position model. Lineage: Bacteria; Pseudomonadati; Acidobacteriota. The record is from RNAcentral.
UACGGGGGGGGCAAGCGUUGUUCGGAAUUACUGGGCGUAAAGGGCUUGUAGGUGGCCAACUAAGUCAGACGUGAAAUCCCUCGGCUUAACCGGGGAACUGCGUCUGAUACUGGAUGGCUUGAGUAUGGGAGAGGGAUGCGGAAUUCCAGGUGUAGCGGUGAAAUGCGUAGAUAUCUGGAGGAACACCGGUGGCGAAGGCGGCAUCCUGGACCAUGACUGACACUGAAAAGCGAAAGCCAGGGGAGCAAACGGG